This 482-nucleotide ribosomal RNA is filed under the name uncultured bacterium. Its description in RNAcentral is "bacterial SSU rRNA". It matches the Rfam family "Bacterial small subunit ribosomal RNA", at positions 29 to 506 of the family's 1533-position model. The record is from RNAcentral.
UUGAACGCUGGCGGAAUGCUUUACACAUGCAAGUCGAGCGGCAGCGCGGGGGCAACCCUGGCGGCGAGCGGCGAACGGGUGAGUAAUACAUCGGAACGUGCCCGAUCGUGGGGGAUAACGCAGCGAAAGCUGUGCUAAUACCGCAUACGAUCUACGGAUGAAAGCGGGGGAUCGCAAGACCUCGCGCGGACGGAGCGGCCGAUGGCAGAAUAGGUAGUUGGUGGGAUAAAAGCUUACCAAGCCGACGAUCUGUAGCUGGUCUGAGAGGACGACCAGCCACACUGGAACUGAGACACGGUCCAGACUCCUACGGGAGGCAGCAGUGGGGAAUUUUGGACAAUGGGGGCAACCCUGAUCCAGCCAUUCCGCGUGAGUGAAGAAGGCCUUCGGGUUGUAAAGCUCUUUCGGCAGGAACGAAACGGUGCGGGCCAAUACCCCGCAUCAAUGACGGUACCUGAAGAAGAAGCACCGGCUAACUACGU